CAGCUAAGCAGAUAACGGCGGCCCCUGCCUUCGGAUCCCGCGGAAUAUUCCGUAGCCGUCAACUAGCCCGGGUUUGAACGGAGCCGGAUGGCGAACGAAGGAGCCGAGCCUGACUGGCGUCCACCCCCGAGGAUGAUAACGAUUUGCAGCCGCUGGCUUUUGGCUCCGCGCCGCCGGCUCGAAAAUUGAAUGAAACGUAACCCGAUGCUUUACCAACUACCGAAAUCGGUGUGGAGGAGUAGUUCUUACAAAAAAGAAAAAAUGGUAUGUAGUAUAUUCUCUGAUUUUUUCGGUAAAAUGGAAGUAGUCUAUUCUCGUUGAAUGGUCGAGGUAAUUAUGACCUAAGUUACUCAUUUUUUUUAUUUUGUAGCUUGCCAUGUAUUAAAGUAUAUUUUAUGAGUAUGGUAUUGUGUACCAAUUCAUAUAUCAAUGUCAAUAGUAAGGCGAACAAAAUUAUCUUUGAUAUACUAUAAU
This 474-nucleotide long non-coding RNA is filed under the name Phoenix dactylifera (date palm). RNAcentral describes it as "long non-coding RNA (PDAC_LNC000910)". Lineage: Eukaryota; Viridiplantae; Streptophyta; Magnoliopsida; Arecales; Arecaceae. The record is from RNAcentral.